CACAUGCAAGUCGAGGGGAAACGACAUCGAAAGCUUGCUUUUGAUGGGCGUCGACCGGCGCACGGGUGAGUAACGCGUAUCCAACCUGCCCACCACUUGGGGAUAACCUUGCGAAAGUAAGACUAAUACCCAAUGACGUCUCUAGAAGACAUCUGAAAGGGAUUAAAGAUUUAUCGGUGAUGGAUGGGGAUGCGUCUGAUUAGCUUGUUGGCGGGGUAACGGCCCACCAAGGCUACGAUCAGUGGGGGUUCUGAGAGGAAGGUCCCCCACAUUGGAACUGAGACACGGUCCAAACUCCUACGGGAGGCAGCAGUGAGGAAUAUUGGUCAAUGGACGAGAGUCUGAACCAGCCAAGUAGCGUGCAGGAUGACGGCCCUAUGGGUUGUAAACUGCUUUUAUAAGGGAAUAAAGUGAGCCUCGUGAGGCUUUUUGCAUGUACCUUAUGAAUAAGGACCGGCUAAUUCCGUGCCAGCAGCCGCGGUAAUACGGAAGGUCCGGGCGUUAUCCGGAUUUAUUGGGUUUAAAGGGAGCGUAGGCCGGAGAUUAAGCGUGUUGUGAAAUGUAGAUGCUCAACAUCUGCACUGCAGCGCGAACUGGUUUCCUUGAGUACGCACAAAGUGGGCGGAAUUCGUGGUGUAGCGGUGAAAUGCUUAGAUAUCACGAAGAACUCCGAUUGCGAAGGCAGCUCACUGGAGCGCAACUGACGCUGAAGCUCGAAAGUGCGGGUAUCGAACAGGAUUA
RNAcentral lists this ribosomal RNA (741 nucleotides) under uncultured bacterium. RNAcentral describes it as "bacterial SSU rRNA". It matches the Rfam family "Bacterial small subunit ribosomal RNA", at positions 52 to 780 of the family's 1533-position model. The record is from RNAcentral.